This 371-nucleotide ribosomal RNA is filed under the name uncultured bacterium. RNAcentral describes it as "bacterial SSU rRNA". It matches the Rfam family "Bacterial small subunit ribosomal RNA", at positions 527 to 898 of the family's 1533-position model. The record is from RNAcentral.
GUAGGGUGCGAGCGUUAAUCGGAAUUACUGGGCGUAAAGCGUGCGCAGGCGGUUAUAUAAGACAGUUGUGAAAUCCCCGGGCUUAACCUGGGAACUGCAUNUGUGACUGUAUAGCUAGAGUACGGCAGAGGGGGAUGGAAUUCCGCGUGUAGCAGUGAAAUGCGUAGAUAUGCGGAGGAACACCGAUGGCGAAGGCAAUCCCCUGGGCCUGUACUGACGCUCAUGCACGAAAGCGUGGGGAGCAAACAGGAUUAGAUACCCUGGUAGUCCACGCCCUAAACGAUGUCAACUGGUUGUUGGGUCUUCACUGACUCAGUAACGAAGCUAACGCGUGAAGUUGACCGCCUGGGGAGUACGGCCGCAAGGUUGAA